GAUGAACGCUGGCGGCGUGCCUAAUACAUGCAAGUCGAGCGAACAGACGAGGAGCUUGCUCCUCUGACGUUAGCGGCGGACGGGUGAGUAACACGUGGAUAACCUACCUAUAAGACUGGGAUAACUUCGGGAAACCGGAGCUAAUACCGGAUAAUAUAUUGAACCGCAUGGUUCAAUAGUGAAAGACGGUUUUGCUGUCACUUAUAGAUGGAUCCGCGCCGCAUUAGCUAGUUGGUAAGGUAACGGCUUACCAAGGCAACGAUGCGUAGCCGACCUGAGAGGGUGAUCGGCCCAACUGGAACUGAGACACGGUCCAGACUCCUACGGGAGGCAGCAGUAGGGAAUCUUCCGCAAUGGGCGAAAGCCUGACGGAGCAACGCCGCGUGAGUGAUGAAGGUCUUCGGAUCGUAAAACUCUGUUAUUAGGGAAGAACAAAUGUGUAAGUAACUAUGCACGUCUUGACGGUACCUAAUCAGAAAGCCACGGCUAACUACGU
This 496-nucleotide ribosomal RNA is filed under the name uncultured bacterium. RNAcentral's name for it is "partial 16S ribosomal RNA". It matches the Rfam family "Bacterial small subunit ribosomal RNA", at positions 28 to 506 of the family's 1533-position model. The record is from RNAcentral.